UGGGGAAUAUUGCACAAUGGGCGCAAGCCUGAUGCAGCCAUGCCGCGUGUAUGAAGAAGGCCUUCGGGUUGUAAAGUACUUUCAGCGGGGAGGAAGGGAGUAAAGUUAAUACCUUUGCUCAUUGACGUUACCCGCAGAAGAAGCACCGGCUAACUCCGUGCCAGCAGCCGCGGUAAUACGGAGGGUGCAAGCGUUAAUCGGAAUUACUGGGCGUAAAGCGCACGCAGGCGGUUUGUUAAGUCAGAUGUGAAAUCCCCGGGCUCAACCUGGGAACUGCAUCUGAUACUGGCAAGCUUGAGUCUCGUAGAGGGGGGUAGAAUUCCAGGUGUAGCGGUGAAAUGCGUAGAGAUCUGGAGGAAUACCGGUGGCGAAGGCGGCCCCCUGGACGAAGACUGACGCU
RNAcentral lists this ribosomal RNA (400 nucleotides) under uncultured bacterium. RNAcentral describes it as "bacterial SSU rRNA". It matches the Rfam family "Bacterial small subunit ribosomal RNA", at positions 355 to 747 of the family's 1533-position model. The record is from RNAcentral.